UACAAAGGAAUUGACGGGGAGCACCACAACAGGUGGAGCCUGCGGUUUAAUCGGACUCAACGCCGGGAAACUCACCAGAUAAGACAGCUGAAUGAUAGUCGGGCUGAAGACUCUACUUGACUAGCUGAGAGGAGGUGCAUGGCCGUCGUCAGUUCGUACUGUGAAGCAUCCUGUUAAGUCAGGCAACGAGCGAGACCCACGCCAACAGUUGCCAGCUCGUCCUCCGGGAUGGUGGGGACACUGUUGGGACCGCCUCUGCUAAAGAGGAGGAAGGAAUGGGCAACGGUAGGUCAGUAUGCCCCGAAUAUCCCGGGCUACACGCGAGCUACAAUGGUUGGUACAAUGGGUAUCUACCCCGAAAGGGGAUGGAAAUCUCCUAAAGCCAAUCUUAGUCCGGAUUGAGGGCUGCAACUCGCCCUCAUGAAGCUGGAAUCCGUAGUAAUCGCGUUUCAACAGAACGCGGUGAAUACGUCCCUGCUCCUU
RNAcentral lists this ribosomal RNA (483 nucleotides) under uncultured Methanomicrobiales archaeon. Its description in RNAcentral is "bacterial SSU rRNA". It matches the Rfam family "Archaeal small subunit ribosomal RNA", at positions 858 to 1338 of the family's 1478-position model. The record is from RNAcentral. Lineage: Archaea; Methanobacteriati; Methanobacteriota; Methanomicrobia; Methanomicrobiales.